RNAcentral lists this ribosomal RNA (468 nucleotides) under uncultured bacterium. RNAcentral's name for it is "bacterial SSU rRNA". It matches the Rfam family "Bacterial small subunit ribosomal RNA", at positions 329 to 793 of the family's 1533-position model. The record is from RNAcentral.
UUCCAGACUCCUACGGGAGGCAGCAGUGAGGAAUAUUGGUCAAUGGGCGCGAGCCUGAACCAGCCAAGUCGCGUGAGGGAGGACGGCCCUACGGGUUGUAAACCUCUUUUGCCGGGGAGCAACGGGCGUCACGUGUGGCGCCACUGAGAGUACCCGGAGAAAAGGCAUCGGCUAACUCCGUGCCAGCAGCCGCGGUAAUACGGAGGAUGCGAGCGUUAUCCGGAUUUAUUGGGUUUAAAGGGAGCGUAGAUGGGUUGUUAAGUCAGUUGUGAAAGUUUGCGGCUCAACCGUAAAAUUGCAAUUGAUACUGGCAGCCUUGAGUACAGUUGAGGUAGGCGGAAUUCGUGGUGUAGCGGUGAAAUGCUUAGAUAUCACGAAGAACCCCGAUUGCGAAGGCAGCUUACUAAACUGUGACUGACAUUGAUGCUCGAAAGUGUGGGUAUCAAACAGGAUUAGAUACCCCAGUAA